UGGGGGAUAUUGCACAAUGGAGGAAACUCUGAUGCAGCAACGCCGCGUGAGGGAAGAAGGUCUUCGGAUUGUAAACCUUAGUAGUCAGGGACGAAUAAAUGACGGUACCUGAAGAGUAAGCUCCGGCUAACUACGUGCCAGCAGCCGCGGUAAUACGUAGGGAGCGAGCGUUGUCCGGAUUUACUGGGUGUAAAGGGUGCGUAGGCGGGACUGCAAGUCAGACGUGAAAUACCGAGGCUUAACCUCGGGGCUGCGUUUGAAACUGUGGUUCUUGAGUGAAGUAGAGGCAGGCGGAAGUCCUAGUGUAGCGGUGAAAUGCGUAGAUAUUAGGAGGAACACCAGUGGCGAAGGCGGCCUGCUGGGCUUUAACUGACGCUGAUGCACGAAAGCAUGGGGAGCAAACA
RNAcentral lists this ribosomal RNA (404 nucleotides) under uncultured bacterium. Its description in RNAcentral is "bacterial SSU rRNA". It matches the Rfam family "Bacterial small subunit ribosomal RNA", at positions 355 to 774 of the family's 1533-position model. The record is from RNAcentral.